CCUGCGGAAGGAUCAUUGUCNAAUCCUGCCUAGCAGACCAACGCGAACAAGUUAACAAAUUGCGGGCUGCGGACGGGAUGAGGGAGACCUCUAACGUCAGCGCUCGCACCCAACUAAAACUCUCGGCGCGGGAUGCGCCAAGGAUUACUGAAAACAGAUUGCUUACACCUCUGCGGCUUCCGUGGUGUGUGCAAAGCGUCUGAUGGUUUAACAAAAAUGACUCUCGGCAACGGAUAUCUCGGCUCUCGCAUCGAUAAAGAACGUANCGAAAUACGAUACUUGGUGUGAAUUGCAGAAUCCCGUGAACCAUCGAGUUUUUGAACGCAAGUUGCGCCCGAAGCCAUUAGGCUAAGGGCACGUCUGCCUGGGCGUCACGCAUCUCGUCGUCACCUCUCUCCGCACCUGUGUGGAUAUGAAUGACGGAUGUUGGCCUCCCGUGUCAUCUUGGUGCGGUUGGCCAAAAUGCGAGUCGUCGGUGCGAUCUUUCACGACAAGUGGUGGUUGAACUCAUCAACUCAUUGUGCUGUCGANAUGAUGCCCGAUGCGUUCUUUAAUGACCCUAGGGCUCUCGACCCCCACAGGUGUUUAGGGCCUUCGACCGCGACCCUGGUCAGGCGGGAUUACCCGCUGAGUUUUAACAUAUCAAUAAGCGGAG
RNAcentral lists this ribosomal RNA (655 nucleotides) under Psychotria capitata. RNAcentral describes it as "eukaryotic LSU rRNA". The stretch from base 219 to 374 matches the Rfam family "5.8S ribosomal RNA". Lineage: Eukaryota; Viridiplantae; Streptophyta; Magnoliopsida; Gentianales; Rubiaceae. The record is from RNAcentral.